This is a long non-coding RNA of Triticum dicoccoides, 868 nucleotides long. RefSeq lists it as uncharacterized. The transcript has 6 exons. NCBI's taxonomy places the organism in Eukaryota, Viridiplantae, Streptophyta, Magnoliopsida, Poales, Poaceae. The record is from RefSeq and is a predicted model, not a curated record.
GGGGGAGAGGCGAGAUGGAUCCCGGCGGAGCAGGAGCAAGGAAAGCAGCUGUACGUGCGUCGCGGAAAGGAAGCCCACCUGGUGAAGUCAAGUAUUCACCUGGAGGUUUGGGUGCAUGAUUUGGUACGGGAAUGAGUUCGCACCUACAGUGGGAUUCUUUCUUGCUACCCACCUGGCCACCUGUCUGAGGUGGUCGUUCGAAUAUGGCAUCUUCAAGAGGAGCUGGUUUUAAAAAUACUGUAAUGAUAACUGGCAAGCGUCAGCUGGGAGGGGGUUGUCAAGCAAAUGUUUUUUGUGUGGCAAAUUUACCUGGAAAUCAGAUACUAUGAAGCAGUAAAACGAUUUGAGUUUGAUGAUCAGCUUGGACCAUAAAAUUUGGAUUCUUUUGGAGACUGGAAACAACUUUCAAGCUACUUGUCACGGAGUGUCAUUGAACGCCUUGUCAAGCUUGAUGGAGACUGUCCUGACUAAAGAAGAUCCACUCUUGGGGGAGCUGCAAUUCUCUUUAUAGCGUUCAUGGUACUGCAGGCAAAAAAACUAAACAGUUGUUUUGAAGACAGCCACUGGGACAGUCACUGGAGGCGUUUAUGUAGUGGAAAGCAUUAGUUACUCCCUCCAUCCACAUAUAUAGGGCCCAAUAUGGAUUUCGAGGUAGCCUUUGACCAAUGAUAAAAUUAUUAGUAUGAGAUAUAUGAUAUAAAAAUUAUUUCAUGAGAAUCUCCUUUCACACACGAAUUCGAUGGUAUGCUUUGUGCAACAUGCAUGCCAUAUAUUAUUGUGCUAACCCGUGGUCAAAGAUAACCUCAAAAAACGCAUUUAGCCCCUAUAUAUGUGGAUGGAGAGAGUAGUCUUCCCUCUUUUGAGCUGU